GUAAAUUCCGUCCCGCUUGAAUGGUGUAACCAUCUCUUGACUGUCUCGGCUAUAGACUCGGUGAAAUCCAGGUACGGGUGAAGACACCCGUUAGGCGCAACGGGACGGAAAGACCCCGUGAAGCUUUACUGUAGCUUAAUAUUGAUCAGGACAUUAUCAUGUAGAGAAUAGGU
Molecule: ribosomal RNA, 173 nt
Filed under: Mycoplasmoides pneumoniae
Lineage: Bacteria; Bacillati; Mycoplasmatota; Mycoplasmoidales; Mycoplasmoidaceae
Description: Mycoplasma pneumoniae partial 23S rRNA domain V
Rfam family: Bacterial large subunit ribosomal RNA
Source: RNAcentral